This 727-nucleotide long non-coding RNA is filed under the name Setaria italica (foxtail millet). Its description in RNAcentral is "long non-coding RNA (SITA_LNC007070)". The record is from RNAcentral. Lineage: Eukaryota; Viridiplantae; Streptophyta; Magnoliopsida; Poales; Poaceae.
CCAGGCUCCAAGCAGCGGCAGAGGAGGAGGCCGUUGCAGGAAUCCAAGGGUCUUACAUGGUCACUGGGGACGGGAAAGAAGGAGAAGUCGGGGAAGAUGAACGGCGCGCCUUUUCCGGUGAUGUUGGUGAAGUGAUGCGCGCGGGCGGGGCAGCGCUCUAAGUUCCAGCUGUGGUAGAAGAAGCCGACGAGGGUCUGGGGUAGCUUCUUGCGGUGGACGGGGUCGGAGAUGAGGUAGCGCCAGGACCGAGAGACGCAUUUGAAGCGGCACAGUGAGCGGACGGGGACGCGGCGGAGGAUCUCCACGAGGAGCUCGUCCGUGAGGCUGGCCGGCGGGUUCCUCUUCCCGGGGGGCUCCUCCAUCUCGUGGAGUCCGGAUCCCCCGCUGUGAGGAUGAGGUAGCGCCAGGACCGAGAGACGCAUUUGAAGCGGCACAGUGAGCGGACGGGGACGCGGCGGAGGAUCUCCACGAGGAGCUCGUCCGUGAGGCUGGCCGGCGGGUUCCUCUUCCCGGGGGGCUCCUCCAUCUCGUGGAGUCCGGAUCCCCCGCUGUGAGGAUGAGGUCGCCCUGCUCUGCAGUUGGAUCACGGCCUAGAUUAUGGUAAUCUGAUGAGUUGUGAGGAGAAUAAAAGAGUUUUUUUUGUUUUAAAACUGGUGAAGCUGGGAGCGAUUAGCUUGCCUUUGGAUCAGGCGGAGCGCGGCCGGAGACGGAAGCGGAGGCCGACGCG